GCCAAGUCUGCCCUGUCCUUAGCUUCUGCAGGAGGUGUGGGGAACUCUGCCUUCUACAAUGUGAUGCUGCACAGAGAGCUGUCUGUCAUCUUCGACCAAUUCCAUGGCAUUCAGGACACUGUGAUAGGGGAAGGAACGCACUUUCUCAUCCCAUGGGAAAAGAAACCAAUUAUUUUUGACUGCUGCUCUUGACCACAUUAUGCACCAAUCAUCACUGUGAGCAAAGAUUGUCACCAUCACACUGGGCGUCCUCUUCCCACCUUGUUGCUGGCCAGGUCCUUGCAUCUUCCAAUUACUGGAGAAGCCAAUGAAGAAUGUGCUGCCAUCCAUCACUGCGGAGCUCCUCAAGCUGGGGGCGGCUCAGGCUGACGCUGGAGAACUGAUCACGCAGGGAGAGCUGGGCUCCAGACAGGUGAGCAAUUAACUUCGGAGCAAGCAGCAACCUUUGGGCUCCUCCUGGAUGCUGUGACCUUGGAUCUGACCUUCGGGAAGGAAUUUGCAGAAGCAGUGGAACCAAAGAGGUGGCUCAGCAGGAAGAAGAGAGGGCCAGAUCUGUGGUGGCAAGGGCUGAGCAGCAGAAGACGGCGGCCAUCAUCUCUGCCGAGGGCGACUCCAAGGCCACGGAGUUCAUCGCCAGCUCAGUGGCCACCGCAGGUGACGGCCUG
Molecule: long non-coding RNA, 665 nt
Filed under: Homo sapiens (human)
Lineage: Eukaryota; Metazoa; Chordata; Mammalia; Primates; Hominidae
Description: non-protein coding lnc-GTF2IRD2-3:1
Source: RNAcentral